CCCUCCCCAGUGUCACUGUCCUAUCAGCCCCAAGCCCCCGUCCUGGAGCGUCAAGAGCUAGGGGAGGCCUUGGAAACCAUCUAGUCCCCACACUUCUGCGUGAGGAAACUGAGGACCAGAGAGGUCGUCCCUCCGGCCUGAGGCCACACAGCAAGUCAGAUGCAGUGCUGGGAUUGGAUCCAGUCUCUCGACUCCCACUGGAGGCAAGACCCAGCCCUGUGCUACCUGUCAUCACCUCACCAGAGCCACUGGCAUCACGCUGUGGAAGAACAGGGACACUAGUGUUUGCUAAGUAUCAACUGUGUGCCGGGCCCUGUGUAGCCUUUGCGUGUAUGGGUUCAGUUGCUUCCCCCAUCCCAUCUGGAAGAGAGGUAAUAUACUCCCCAUUUUACAGGUGGAGAGACCGAGGCUAAGAAAGGUGAAGUCACCGAGAUCAAGUCCCAGUAGGAUGAUGGCAGAGCUGGGACGAGAACUCAGGCGGCCUAACUCUUGGCUCUGUGCUCGGCACCUUCCAGAGUCGUGGCCAGGCCUGGCCCUGGAGUCGGACCAGGAAUUGCCUGCCUUGGGCAAGGAUUGAAGCUCCUUGGCUGUCCGACAGAAAUUCCAAGCAAGGCCUUUUGGAUUUUGUGAGGCGGGGCAUGGCUAAGAAAAUCCGGUGAAGCCCCGCCUGUGUUCCACGCACAGCUUUAUCGCCAUAUAACAUUGCCCACUAAUGGACACCAGCUUGCAUUUUCCUCUUGGAGAACAUUGAGCGAUUCUGGCCAGAAAUGGCAGAGCUCAGCGAUGAGAAAAUGCCAGCCAAAGACUUAGCAAGAGUGUCUGCACAACGUAGGUGCUCACAACUGCUAACGAGGCCUGAAAUGGCUGUUUGCCUGCUCCGAGUCACCUACCCAUUAUCUGACUCAUGGAGAAGAAUCCGAGGAGGAAGACGUGUCUCAGUCAGGAGGGAAGGCCAGCAUUUCCAUCUGGGGGUGGGAACCAGGGUAUUCGUCCCUCUCCUCUGACCUCUCACAGCACGGACCUGACUAUCGUGGGGCGCGCUGGUUUAGGGUACAAAGACCCCUGAUUCCAGACCAGUGGUCCGGGGUCCUAACUUUCAUGUGUCACCAGCCUCCCUCGGGCCUCAGUUUCCUCCUCUGUGAAAGGGAGAGGUGGGACCAGAGGGUACCCCUCACUUGGGCAGCUUUCAAGCAGUCCUGAGGCCCAGGCGUGACCCAGGUCGGCUGAACUUCUGUGGGUGCCAUUUGGGCCUCUGUGGUUUUGGUCGUGAUGCCGAGUGAAGGGUGGGAGCCCCCGGAUGGCUCUGGGGUCCCCAGUGGACGGAACGUAGCAGAGCUGUAUGGGGGAGGGGGGGCCAAUCAACUGCCGUGAGCAGGGCUUUGCAUAUCCUCUUAGCAUGCGUGUGGGUGAGUAACAGCCCUGACUGAGCAUCUGUCUCAGCCGGGAGCUGUCUCCCAGCAUGGGGGGCUGUUCCUCUCUUACCAUUAACAGGUGACAGGCGGCGGGCUCCUGGAUGCUUGCAGAGAGGAGGCUACGCGGGCCGAGAACCCCGGAAACGUCAUUCUUUUCUCCACGGGGAAGCUGGGCCACACUGAUUUGAACGCUGCUGGCAGGGAGCUCCCAGCUCUCGAGGCAAACUCUUCCCUUUGGGUGCGAGCCGGGCCAUCCAAAGACUUGGGGACUCCUCUCUGGACGGGGAUCCCAGCGAGCAGUUUGGGCUGGGGAUACAGCAGUUGCCCAUCGAGGGAGGGCCGGCAUCCAAGAAUAAGGAUAAUGGAAUCUGUGGCUGACAUGAGGGACAGGUUCCUGGAGUUGCCCCCCGGAGAGGCGCCCCCCUCGCCACCCUCACGAUGACCUGAUCUGGGGCUUCGCUUCGGAACCAAGGAACAAUGGGAAGAUUUGGAGGACAGUGGCCGGGAGAGCACAUUAGACAGAGAUUAUCCAUACCUCGCCGGACGUCAUAGAACAAAUACACGGAAGACGGGUGAUAUGAACUCAGGUCUUUCUGACAACAAAGCCCGCGUUCCUAAAACGUCCCCGCCUUCUGACAGGACGAUUGCUUUGCAAGCCCACGUCGAUGCGGAAGCUCCCUGUUAGUUUCUGUCAAUGCUCUUGCUUCUCACUGCCUCUUGUUUUCACCUCUUCCUCACCCUUGUCGCCUCCUCCUACCUUGUGCACAUCCUCGCUAUCUCAUGCCUACACCGUCUCCCCUGUCACCUGCCCGAGCAGGGACUCCCAGCCCGAGGGCUGUGGCUCGCCGGUGUGCCAGGAACCCUUGUCAGCUGGGACAUCAAGCCUCAAUCAGUGAGAAAAGCUUCUUCGUUAAUUCAUUUUUUUUUUUUUUGGAGGCUGCCACUAACAGGAGGGUGUCUGCAGACAGGACACUGAGUGGAGUGAGGGACACUGUGGCCGAACAUUGGGAGACUACCAAAGAAAGAUGGCGGGGAGGCUCAGUUCCUCAUGAUGACUCCGGGCUCAGGCUGAGAGGGCGGCCACCCCCUCGAGCCUGGCCAGUCCCCCGCCAGAAGGAAAACGAGCUGUGGUGUAUCUCGCACCUGCCCGGGCUAGAAGUGACUUCCGCUGGUUCCGCUCACAGUGCAUUGGCUGGAAUUAGUCACACGGCCUCGCCAACCAGCAGGCGUCUGGCAGAAAGGCGGGGGAGCUAGAACAACGUGCGGAGCGGCCCCCCUGAGGUCCCCAGUAUACCUCCCGCCUGGCAGAGAGCCUAGACGGGAACACUUUUUUGAUGAAAUAGUUUCCAGCCCAACCAGUGUCCCCAGAGUAGCGCUUGCCAAGGCACCGAUGACCUUUGUAUCGCUACCAGCGGUGGACGCUUUUCAGUCCUUGUCUCCCUUGACCUUGUGUGUAACACCUCGCUUUCCUUCUUAAUACAGGUCUCUUGGCUUCCUUCUGAGCUCCGUGACCAUAUGUCACGCUGUCUACUUGGCGUCUUCUUGAGAAUCUUCAACGUUACCUGAAACUUAAUAUGCUGAAGACCAAAGGGUCUUCCUCCCUCCACCCCUGGUCCCUAAGGCGGCCCCUCCCCGCCAGGGCUCCUCAGCUCACUAGAUGGCAAUGCCAUCCACCUGCUUACACAAGCCAGUGUCAUCCUUGGCCCUUCCCUCUCUCUCCCACACCAUUUCAUGUUAACCCCCUCACUCAGCCCUGACAAUUUUACUUCUUCGGCAUCUCUCCACUCCAUCCGCCCUCUCUCUCCUGCUCCAUCACUAGUCCGUGUGGCCUCGGUGUCCCAUCUGGUUGCUGUGAGGUCCCCCGGUGACCUCCGUGCCCAUCGAACCCCACCCAGAUGUUCUUCAUGCUGCACUCGGAGGGAUCCUUUCAAGAUGCAAAUUUGGUCACACAUUCCCUCUCCCCAUUCAAUAGCCCCGCCAUCGCUCUUGGGAAAAGGAUGAAAUCCUGGUCUCUGCUUGCUUCUCAUCCCAUCUCACUCCUGGCACAGCGCCUAGCACACAGUAGGCACUUGGAUCGGAACCCAGGCACUCUGAGCUGAGAACCAAGCUCCUCGUGUUUAUGCUGUUCUGCCCACUCCCUGCACUUGGCACAGAGGAGGUGACAACAUGGUGGCCUGUGGAUGGAACCCAGCAGAAGCAGGGGGGAAGGCUGCUAGCUGGGGGGUGAGUCAGCCCUCUCCCUGUGGUCUGAGGCUGUCAUCAGGAACCGCGACAGUCAUUUCUUUCUUUGUGGCUUUGAGGUCUGGGGGCAGAGGGUGUGGGCUCCUGAGACCCCUCGGGCUGCCAUGGAGAGCUCAGUGUGUUGGGACCCAGGGGAUACAGGAGGGACUCUGGGGAGUCCCUGGGGGAGCUGUCCCCCCCCCCCCCACUGGCUGUGGACCUCUAGGACAGUGAGGGCUCCAAGUGUGCAGAGGGUCGAAUUUCAUCUUAACUCCCAAGGAGGCUCCUGCCCCUGUUCUCCAGCUUACAGAUUAGGAAACUGAAGCAUGGAGAAUUUAAGGGACCGGCCCAAGUCCCCGUGGAUGUUCAGUGACACCGCCGGACUUGGUGCCAGGCCUGCCUGGUCCCCGAAGCCGCCCUCUCUCCCCGGUCCCAUGCCAGCCCCUCUGGGGGCAGCACUGCCUCUCUUCUGAGGGGCCAAGAGGAAGAGAAAGUGAGGGCGGAGCGGGGAGUUGGGUCCUGGCAGGAAGGGGAUUUGCCCCAAGGGUUCAGAUGAGGGAACUGAGGACAGAGGUUUCUCACGGAGGGGUGAGGGGUUGUGCGGGACGGAGGGACCCGUGAGACGGGCUGAGGCACCCCAAGACUAGCUGGGGUGGGAGCUGGGCUGGAGGGGUGGGGGGGGGCAGUGUUGUGGGGACCUGCUGAGAACCGGACCCUGGAGGAGACGCUGUGGUCAUGGAGGAUGUGGGGACCGCUGGCGGCACACCCCUGCCCGUCUCCACCGCCGGCUCCUCUCCUGCGGGCCUCCCCUGGACUGAGCCCCAGCGGGACAAGCAGGCAAAGGAGGCUGGGGAGGAUGCUGUCCUAGGGGCCAGUCCCCUGGGGAUGCAGACUAGCUACCAUGGGGACCCAGGGGAGGCCUGUGGGGCUGCAGGUGUGAAGACGCAGGGCCCAGAGGCUGGGGGGCAGUGAGUCAAUGUGCACAGUGUCUCCCUUUGUCCCCGCCCACCCCAAAUGCAGGGAACAGUCAGCCGGCCUGCCUUCUCCCCCAAACAUGGCAGUGCUUGCCCCCAGAGCCUCCUUCUGGCCCUUCCCAUGUCUGUUUCUUGUCGGGGGUGGGGGGGCUUUCCCAAGACUGGGGUAAAAAUCCGGCAUCACCCUGGGGGUGACUGUCCCCCGGGGAUCGACUGUCCCCGGCUGAGGCUGGGUCCUUAGCUCCUUUCUCAAUCUCUCUCUCUCUCUCUCUCUCUCUCUCUCUCUCUCCCCCUCCUUCCCUCCAC
Prionailurus viverrinus (fishing cat) is the source of this 4912-nucleotide long non-coding RNA. RefSeq lists it as uncharacterized. NCBI's taxonomy places the organism in Eukaryota, Metazoa, Chordata, Mammalia, Carnivora, Felidae. The transcript is spliced from 6 exons. The record is from RefSeq and is a predicted model, not a curated record.